Molecule: long non-coding RNA, 4911 nt
Filed under: Brassica napus (rape)
Lineage: Eukaryota; Viridiplantae; Streptophyta; Magnoliopsida; Brassicales; Brassicaceae
Description: long non-coding RNA (BNAP_LNC025313)
Source: RNAcentral
AUGUCGCUGAUCUUUCUGAUCUCGUUAGCUCUGGACGAGACAGGAAACCUGAAGAGAUUGCCUUCGAAGAAGAGUGUCAGCGCAAAAGCUUAGCCUUUCGUGCUGAAAGGUUUAGUUCUUCACUUUUACAUUUCACUUGAUUUUAGCAUCUUUGGUUAGAGUUGACCUCCUCCAUUAGUAAAAUUUAUUCACUAAAUUAGGAAUCUGAUUCCUGGUCUGUGGUUACUGCGUCUUCACCCACUCUUUGAUACAUAUUAUAACCACUUAUUAGCUUCUUUAGUCCCUGUCUCGAGAUAUUCACACAGUUCUUUCCAGUUGAGAGAACUUAAUAAGAAGAGUUAGUUUCAUAUACUUACUGAUGCAUUUAGUUUUAAUCGUACUUGAUUAAGUUAGCUAAUGAUAUCUUCUGGUUUUACAUUUUAAGAUAGAUGUUUAAAUCUUAAUAUACUUUUUCCAUUGUUUUUAAGUUGUGUAUUUCUUUUUCUUAUAUUUUCUAUUUACUUAAUAUCUAUAUUUUACAUUUUAAGAUAGAUGUUUAAUAUUUAAUAUACUCUUUCCAUUUUUAAAAAAUUGUGCAUUUACUUAUUAUUGUAUAUAUAAUUCGUAUAUUUAUAUAUUUAUAACAUUUACUUAUUAUUUAUUUUUUAUAUAUUGAGUAUUUCUCUUUUUUAUACUUUAUAUUUAGUUAAUGUCUAUAUUUUAUAUUUUAAGAUAGAUGUUUAAAUCUUUACGCAUUUUUCUAUUUUUAAUGUAAAACGGCAAUGUUUAAUAGAAGAACUUGGACAAAUAGUCAAACAUAUUUAUGUUUAAUGUAGUAUUUCCAUUUUUAUGUUGUAUGUUUUACAUAUAUUUAUUAUUUUUGAAAUUAUAUAUAAUGUUUUUUGUUUUUUUUUUUAUAAAACGGUAAUGUUACAUUAUGGAGAUAAGCCGUCUUUUUUUUUAAAUGAAAAAUAGUAAUCUUUGAAAAAUAGUAAUCUUACAUAUGUUUAAUGUAGUUUUUCCAUUUUUUAAUGCUGUAUGUUUACAUAUUUUUUACAAUUUUCGAAAAUAAUUAAUAUUAAAAUAUAAAACUAUAUUUUAUGCCACGUGUCAUUUUUCGGGAGAAAUUUUUUUCGCUGAUGUGGACGCCCUAUGGAGCCUCAAAAGCUCCCUUUUAUUAGUAGAGAUUUCCGUCGGUCUCUUUAUUAAUUUUUUAUUGAUUUUCAAUAAUAAUAUAUUUUAUUAUUCCCUGCUAUUUUAUUCUAUCUCAGCAAUUUUAUAUUGGCUUUUGCGGUUUAAAAUAUUUCUGUUAGUCGUAAUGCAUAUCCAAAUUCAAAUAAUAAAAUAUAUCAAAUUUACAACGAAAAAAUUCAAAACACUGUUAAUAUUGUUUUAAAUGAGAAUUGAUGACACAUAAUUGUGUAUAUUAUAUCAUUUAUUAGUACAAACUUUUUAGUUAUAACAUCAAAUAUAGGAGUAUAUAAGUUUUACCAAUCACUCAUUAGCUUUUUCGAAAAUAAUAUAAUUCGGUAAAAGUUAAUAUAUAUUUUGGAAAAUUAUAGUACUAGACCGCCAACAAUUUACGAAUUUGUAAUGUAUUUAAAGGAAAAAUAGAGCAAAUUAAAUUUGGCGCAAUAAAAUUGAGGAACUAGCCCAAGGGGCCGACAUUAUAUGGGUAUGGGCCUUAAGGCCCAUACAAAGCCAUAUUAAACAAAACUUCACCAGACGAGAUUAUCAACACCCCGUUACUAGUCGUCGUCAUCAUCUCUUCGUGCACUCGCUUAAGAUUCGAUCAGAACCUGAAAUUUCGCACGCCUCCGCUGAUCAUCGUCACCAUCGGAAUAUUCCACAUUCGCCGCCGUGAAACCACCUCAUCGAAUCAGAAGUACGGAAACUAGCUGAAUUCGUCUUUCAUUCUUUUUCGAUUUGGUUUUGAUGUAUCCGUUUUGGUGUAUUGUUGUUCAGAGAGGCUUUAGCUAGGGUUUAGGUUAAUCAAAUGGGGAAGAAGGAGAAUGAUAUGUCAGCAAUGGAGAUCGACGAUCCGAAACUGGACGGCUCUGAUCAGAUCCUUCCUAGGUUCUCGAUGAACGGUUAGUUUUGUUUACUAGGCCAUUACUGUGAAGUGUAUAUCAAUAAGUUUGUGGAUGUGUGUGACAUUGUGUUUGGCUUUACAGUUCUGCAGCUGAUGAAGACUUCUCAGGCUCAGCAUGGUCUGCGUCGUGGUGACUAUGCUCGUUAUCGGUAUUUAUAUCAAACCUUAACCUCAUUGGCCAAAAAGAAGAAGUAAUGGUUAAUAAUCUGUGUGUGUGUGUUAUCUUGUUUGUGUAGGAGGUAUUGCUCAGCACGGUUGAGGAGGCUAUACAAGUCGUUGAAAUUUACUCAUGGCCGGGGCAAGUACACCCGACGAGCCAUUCUUGAAUCAACUGUCACCAAUGUUAGGUACUCCCUCCGUUUCAUUUUAAUUGUCGUUGUAGAGUAAAAUUUCCGUUCAAGUCUCCGUUUUAUAGUUUGAAUGCAAAAUUUAUUAAUUUAUUUUUCUAUUGGUUGAAAUAUGGUUAGGCGUAUAGGUAAUGAUGUUCUUAAGUUGUUUGCAUAAACAUAAAACGUCAAUUAAAAUGAAACGGAAGGAGGAGUAUUUGUUUUGUUUUGUUUGAGAUGUGUUACUUGCGUGUACAUAGAUUCAUGGCUUGGUUUGAUGUGAAGGCUUAGUUGUUGCUUCUACCAUAAAGUGAUUUUGUUGCACUCACAUUACCUCUAAUUGAGUUGAUGUUGUGUCUUUUGUUUGAAAUAGGUUUCUUCAUGUGGUUUUCUACAUGGCGGAAAGAGCAUGGAGCCAUGCGAUGGAGAAAAGACAGCUACCAGAUGGGCCUAAUGCACGGCAGCGGAUUUAUUUAAUUGGGAGGCUGAGGAAGGCAGUUAAAUGGGCUACGCUUUUCUCAAGUUUGUGCUCUGUUAAGACAGAUUCCAGGACAUCUCUGGAAGCUGAGGUAUUUAACUUAUCUAAGGCCUUUAAUGGAAGAAGAGAAUACCUCUGUUGUAGUCUUUAAGCUUAGUUGUUUGUGUGCACGACGUGAGUCUCAUACUUUAUCUUACACUUUUAUAGGCAUAUGCUUCCUAUAUGAAAGGCACUAUGUUGUUUGAGCAAGAUCAAAAUUGGGAAACUGCGUUGGCCUGUUUCAAAAACGCCAGGUUUGAUUUGUUCAAUAUCCUCUUUUUGUAAUUUGGUAGGUCUUGUUUCUGAAACUUAUUCCACUUUGCAGAGCUGUUUAUGAGGAACUAGGGAAAUAUGGUGAUCUAGAGAACCAAGUUCUUUGCCGGGAACGAGUUGAGGAGCUUGAGCCUAGUGUUCAGUACUGCCUACACAAAAUUGGCAAAGCAAACUUGCAGACAUCUGACCUACUUCAGAUUGGUGAGAUGGAAGGCCCUGCCUUGGAUCUUUUCAAAGCAAAGAUAGAGGUACGUAACAUUUCAGUUUCUAUCAGCCUCACCUCACCACCAAAGCAAUCGAAUCUUGUCCACAUAAUUGCUGAAGCAUAAAUUUUUUGUUUUGUUAGUUUUUUCAUCUGUUGUUAGAAACUUGGAGUCCGAUUUGACCUUUGACACACCUAAAUACUAAUUACAUGUAUACGAUUUUGGGUACUCUUGAGUCUUGGGUACUCUUGAGUCUUGAGUGUCUUGCACUGGUUCAGUGGUGAACCAUUUCUCAGGUCUGUUUAAUAUUUUGGAUUAAUAUAAUGCAUAUUAUUCACUGUCACGUAGGCUGCUAUGGAAGAAGCCAGAUCUCAACAAGCUGCAUCUCUCACGGAGUUCAAUUGGCUUGGCUACAGAUUUCCAGUUUCCAACCCAAAAUCUCGGGUUUCUAUUUUAAAAGGUUCAACAUUCUCAUAUACUCUCUUUUGAACUACUUUAAUAUGCUGAAAAUUAUGUCUGAUCUAGGAAAAGUUAGGCUUACCUGUCUGAUCUAGGAAAAGUUAGGCUUACCUUAACCUUCUAGUUACUAUUGUGCGUUACCCUAUUAAUAAACCUGCCUUUAUAGAACAUUGAGCAUCUCUUCUGCGACUCUUACUCUUUUGUUUCUUGUUCGUUCAGCCCAGGAACUUGAGAAGGAUCUACAGGGCCCAACAGCAGAAUCGCUCCCUGCAGAGAAAAAGCUAACCAUAUUUGAUAAACUAUUCACUGCAUAUAAUGAUGCGAGGAAUACCAUACGCAGUGACUUGGUGAGUGAAUUUACAAGAGAUCCUCUGAUUUAUUGAUUGGGUUCACCGAAUAGCCUUUUGAAAUUUUUAGAAAACGGUAGACAAGUUUAUUAAAGAGUUGUUUUGGGGGUGUAUUGAUGUUUCUUUGAUUGAUUUUACUAAGGAGCAUACAAAUUUCAGGUAAGUGCAGGAAAUGCUGAGUCUGUUAAAGAUGAGCUAAAUGGUCUGGACAAAGCUGUUGGAGCUGUGCUAGGACAGAGAACCAUUGAAAGGAACCAGUUGUUGGUUAAAAUAGCAAAGAGUAAACUGAACAGGAAGCGUGAUGAUAAGAAUGAAAAGGUUACUAAGCCUGAGGAGCUUGUUCGAUUGUAUGACCUUCUAUUACAGGUUAACCACCGUUCCCCCUGUUUUUUUUUUUCUUCAAAAUCGGAUUUUGUUCGUCAAACCGUCGACAUCUCACCUGCAUUUAUUUUUCUCAGAAUGUCGCUGAUCUUUCUGAUCUCGUUAGCUCUGGACGAGACAGGAAACCCGAAGAGAUUGCCUUCGAAGAAGAGUGUGAACGCAAAAACUUAGCCUUUCGUGCUGAAAGGUUUAGUUCUUCACCUUUACGUUUCACUUGAUUUUAGCAUCUUUGGUUAGAGUUGACCCUCCUCCAUUAGUAAAAUUUAUUCACUAAAUUAGGAAUCUGAUUCCUGGUCAGUGGUCACCCAUUGUCUUCAACUACUCUUUGAUACAU